AGUGAACGCUGGCGGUAGGCCUAACACAUGCAAGUCGAACGGCAGCACAGUAAGAGCUUGCUCUUACGGGUGGCGAGUGGCGGACGGGUGAGGAAUACAUCGGAAUCUACUUUUUCGUGGGGGAUAACGUAGGGAAACUUACGCUAAUACCGCAUACGACCUACGGGUGAAAGCAGGGGAUCUUCGGACCUUGCGCGAUUGAAUGAGCCGAUGUCGGAUUAGCUAGUUGGCGGGGUAAAGGCCCACCAAGGCGACGAUCCGUAGCUGGUCUGAGAGGAUGAUUAGCCACACUGGAACUGAGACACGGUCCCGACUCCUACGGGAGGCAGCAGUGGGGAAUAUUGGACAAUGGGCGCAAGCCUGAUCCAGCCAUACCGCGUGGGUGAAGAAGGCCUUCGGGUUGUAAAGCCCUUUUGUUGGGAAAGAAAAGCAGCAGGUUAAUACCCCGCUGUUCUGACGGUACCCAAAGAAUAAGCACCGGCUAACUUCGUG
Molecule: ribosomal RNA, 492 nt
Filed under: uncultured bacterium
Lineage: Bacteria
Description: partial 16S ribosomal RNA
Rfam family: Bacterial small subunit ribosomal RNA
Source: RNAcentral